GAUGAAGAACGCAGCGAAAUGCGAUAAGUAAUGCGAAUUGCAGAAUUCAGUGAAUCAUCGAAUCUUUGAACGCACAUUGCGCCCGCCAGUAUUCUGGCGGGCAUGCCUGUCUGAGCGUCGUUUCGACCCUCGCGCCCGGCUUCUGUCGGGGGCGGUGUUGGGGAUCGGCCACACCCUUCAGUGGGAGGCCGGCCCCUAAAUUCAGUGGCGACCACGCUGUAGCCUCCCCUGCGUAGUACUAAAACCACCUCGCAGGCGGAGAGCGGUGCGGCCCGCCGUAAAACCCCCCAACUUUUACAAGGUCGACCUCAGAUCAGGUAGGAAUACCCGCUGAACGUAAGCAUAUCAAUAAGCGGAGGA
RNAcentral lists this unclassified non-coding RNA (360 nucleotides) under soil metagenome. RNAcentral describes it as "partial contains 5.8S ribosomal RNA, internal transcribed spacer 2, and large subunit ribosomal RNA". The stretch from base 1 to 120 matches the Rfam family "5.8S ribosomal RNA", at positions 35 to 154 of the family's 154-position model. The record is from RNAcentral.